GGGUUGUGAGGUUAAGCGACUAAGCGUACACGGUGGAUGCCCUGGCAGUCAGAGGCGAUGAAGGACGUGCUAAUCUGCGAUAAGCGUCGGUAAGGUGAUAUGAACCGUUAUAACCGGCGAUUUCCGAAUGGGGAAACCCAGUGUGUUUCGACACACUAUCAUUAACUGAAUCCAUAGGUUAAUGAGGCGAACCGGGGGAACUGAAACAUCUAAGUACCCCGAGGAAAAGAAAUCAACCGAGAUUCCCCCAGUAGCGGCGAGCGAACGGGGAGCAGCCCAGAGCCUGAAUCAGUGUGUGUGUUAGUGGAAGCGUCUGGAAAGGCGCGCGAUACAGGGUGACAGCCCCGUACACAAAAAUGCACAUGCUGUGAGCUCGAUGAGUAGGGCGGGACACGUGGUAUCCUGUCUGAAUAUGGGGGGACCAUCCUCCAAGGCUAAAUACUCCUGACUGACCGAUAGUGAACCAGUACCGUGAGGGAAAGGCGAAAAGAACCCCGGCGAGGGGAGUGAAAAAGAACCUGAAACCGUGUACGUACAAGCAGUGGGAGCCUCUUUUAUGGGGUGACUGCGUACCUUUUGUAUAAUGGGUCAGCGACUUAUAUUCUGUAGCAAGGUUAACCGAAUAGGGGAGCCGAAGGGAAACCGAGUCUUAACUGGGCGUUAAGUUGCAGGGUAUAGACCCGAAACCCGGUGAUCUAGCCAUGGGCAGGUUGAAGGUUGGGUAACACUAACUGGAGGACCGAACCGACUAAUGUUGAAAAAUUAGCGGAUGACUUGUGGCUGGGGGUGAAAGGCCAAUCAAACCGGGAGAUAGCUGGUUCUCCCCGAAAGCUAUUUAGGUAGCGCCUCGUGAAUUCAUCUCCGGGGGUAGAGCACUGUUUCGGCAAGGGGGUCAUCCCGACUUACCAACCCGAUGCAAACUGCGAAUACCGGAGAAUGUUAUCACGGGAGACACACGGCGGGUGCUAACGUCCGUCGUGAAGAGGGAAACAACCCAGACCGCCAGCUAAGGUCCCAAAGUCAUGGUUAAGUGGGAAACGAUGUGGGAAGGCCCAGACAGCCAGGAUGUUGGCUUAGAAGCAGCCAUCAUUUAAAGAAAGCGUAAUAGCUCACUGGUCGAGUCGGCCUGCGCGGAAGAUGUAACGGGGCUAAACCAUGCACCGAAGCUGCGGCAGCGACGCUUAUGCGUUGUUGGGUAGGGGAGCGUUCUGUAAGCCUGUGAAGGUGUGCUGUGAGGCAUGCUGGAGGUAUCAGAAGUGCGAAUGCUGACAUAAGUAACGAUAAAGCGGGUGAAAAGCCCGCUCGCCGGAAGACCAAGGGUUCCUGUCCAACGUUAAUCGGGGCAGGGUGAGUCGACCCCUAAGGCGAGGCCGAAAGGCGUAGUCGAUGGGAAACAGGUUAAUAUUCCUGUACUUGGUGUUACUGCGAAGGGGGGACGGAGAAGGCUAUGUUGGCCGGGCGACGGUUGUCCCGGUUUAAGCGUGUAGGCUGGUUUUCCAGGCAAAUCCGGAAAAUCAAGGCUGAGGCGUGAUGACGAGGCACUACGGUGCUGAAGCAACAAAUGCCCUGCUUCCAGGAAAAGCCUCUAAGCAUCAGGUAACAUCAAAUCGUACCCCAAACCGACACAGGUGGUCAGGUAGAGAAUACCAAGGCGCUUGAGAGAACUCGGGUGAAGGAACUAGGCAAAAUGGUGCCGUAACUUCGGGAGAAGGCACGCUGAUAUGUAGGUGAAGCGACUUGCUCGUGGAGCUGAAAUCAGUCGAAGAUACCAGCUGGCUGCAACUGUUUAUUAAAAACACAGCACUGUGCAAACACGAAAGUGGACGUAUACGGUGUGACGCCUGCCCGGUGCCGGAAGGUUAAUUGAUGGGGUCAGCGCAAGCGAAGCUCUUGAUCGAAGCCCCGGUAAACGGCGGCCGUAACUAUAACGGUCCUAAGGUAGCGAAAUUCCUUGUCGGGUAAGUUCCGACCUGCACGAAUGGCGUAAUGAUGGCCAGGCUGUCUCCACCCGAGACUCAGUGAAAUUGAACUCGCUGUGAAGAUGCAGUGUACCCGCGGCAAGACGGAAAGACCCCGUGAACCUUUACUAUAGCUUGACACUGAACAUUGAGCCUUGAUGUGUAGGAUAGGUG
This 2132-nucleotide ribosomal RNA is filed under the name Escherichia coli. RNAcentral describes it as "partial 23S ribosomal RNA". It matches the Rfam family "Bacterial large subunit ribosomal RNA", at positions 1 to 2149 of the family's 2925-position model. The record is from RNAcentral. Lineage: Bacteria; Pseudomonadati; Pseudomonadota; Gammaproteobacteria; Enterobacterales; Enterobacteriaceae.